RNAcentral lists this ribosomal RNA (576 nucleotides) under uncultured bacterium. Its description in RNAcentral is "bacterial SSU rRNA". It matches the Rfam family "Bacterial small subunit ribosomal RNA", at positions 338 to 916 of the family's 1533-position model. The record is from RNAcentral.
CCUACGGGAGGCAGCAGUGAGGAAUAUUGGACAAUGGGCGCAAGCCUGAUCCAGCCAUGCCGCGUGCAGGAAGACGGUCCUAUGGAUUGUAAACUGCUUUUGUACAGGAAGAAACACUCCCUCGUGAGGGAGCUUGACGGUACUGUAAGAAUAAGGAUCGGCUAACUCCGUGCCAGCAGCCGCGGUAAUACGGAGGAUCCAAGCGUUAUCCGGAAUCAUUGGGUUUAAAGGGUCCGUAGGCGGUUUAAUAAGUCAGUGGUGAAAUCUGGUCGCUCAACGAUCAAACGGCCAUUGAUACUGUUAGACUUGAAUUAUUAGGAAGUAACUAGAAUAUGUAGUGUAGCGGUGAAAUGCUUAGAUAUUACAUGGAAUACCAAUUGCGAAGGCAGGUUACUACUAAUGGAUUGACGCUGAUGGACGAAAGCGUGGGGAGCGAACAGGAUUAGAUACCCUGGUAGUCCACGCCGUAAACGAUGGAUACUAGCUGUUCGGAGCAAUCUGAGUGGCUAAGCGAAAGUGAUAAGUAUCCCACCUGGGGAGUACGUUCGCAAGAAUGAAACUCAAAGGAAUUGACGG